UUUCCGUAGGUGAACCUGCGGAAGGAUCAUUCAUAAUAAGUGUUUUAUGGCACUUUUUUAAAUCCAUAUCCACCUUGUGUGCAAUGUCAGGGUUGGUCUCUUUAGAUCAGCCCCAAACAUCAACUAUUAUCUCAACUCUUUGUCUGAAAAAUAUUAUGAAUAAAACAAUUCAAAAUACAACUUUCAACAACGGAUCUCUUGGCUCUC
RNAcentral lists this unclassified non-coding RNA (207 nucleotides) under plant metagenome. RNAcentral's name for it is "partial contains small subunit ribosomal RNA, internal transcribed spacer 1, and 5.8S ribosomal RNA". The record is from RNAcentral.